This 87-nucleotide transfer RNA is filed under the name Phaeodactylibacter sp. RNAcentral's name for it is "tRNA-Ser". It matches the Rfam family "tRNA". From Rfam's summary of the family: Transfer RNA (tRNA) molecules are approximately 80 nucleotides in length. Their secondary structure includes four short double-helical elements and three loops (D, anti-codon, and T loops). RNAcentral also lists the same sequence under 1 other name. The record is from RNAcentral. Lineage: Bacteria; Pseudomonadati; Bacteroidota; Saprospiria; Saprospirales; Haliscomenobacteraceae.
GGAGGAGUGCCAGAGUGGUUGAAUGGGCCGCACUCGAAAUGCGGUGUACUGGCAACGGUACCGGGGGUUCGAAUCCCUCCUCCUCCG